UAAAAGAUAAGCUAAUUAAGCUAAUGGGUUCAUACCCCGUAAAUAGGAUUGUCCUUCUUUUUA
Molecule: transfer RNA, 63 nt
Filed under: Elimaea cheni
Lineage: Eukaryota; Metazoa; Arthropoda; Insecta; Orthoptera; Tettigoniidae
Description: tRNA-Met
Source: RNAcentral